AUACGCAAAAGGAACAACAAUCAAAGCGUUUAACAAAUAAUGAUAUACGUUUUUAUUGCUCGCGUCUUAAAAAAUUAUAAUUUGGUAGAUCUUAUUUUACAUUUACCUUAACUUUCAUAUAAUAAGUAGAAAUGUACGAAAUUAGUGAAUUGGUCAGUUAUUUAAGUAAUCCUUAGGCUCUAUUUGUUAAAGACUAGACUGUAAAAAAUAUAGAACCAAUUGUAAAAUUUUUAGUAAAUAUUAGGUAUGUAGAAGCAUCUCGGAAAGAAAACAUAUUCUGUGUACAAUCUCAAAAAGCGUAAUAGGUUCUUUUAGUUGAGAUAAGCAUAACAACUAACAAGGAUUUGUUGUACCGUUGUUCCGAUAUGCCUAAUUCGAAUCGAAAGUGAACCCAAAUCAGCAGAUAUAUUCCGGUAGGUGUGAGUUGCCGGAAUUAAUUUAAAAAAUAAUAAAAAUAAGUUAACGACGAACAGUAAAAUAUUUAUUUAUUUUGGUAACAAAAAGGUGUUUUGCUUAGGUCUCGGACGAGGGUCGAUUGUUAGCGAGAGUCGGGUGUCCGCGUGGUUCGCAUGCUGUGAAGAGACUGUUAAGAAAGCCACAGACGCUAAUUUGUUUGUGUUUCUACCCUCUGACCAGAUGGGCAAUAAAUUAUUUAGAUCUGGCGUAUAAAAACAGAAACACUUCUGCAGUUUUAAAACGAUUGCAUGUCCAAAGUGAGUUGUUGACAUAACGGUCUGAUAUGAUAAUUAAUUUAUGGGGAAUUCAGUUUGUUACACUGAACACACCAAAAACAUAUGGUUAGGGAUGCAUUUCGUUUCGUAAAACCAUGUCUUUCUUAGCAUCUGGUUUGUAUAUUAACUGUGACUU
This is a long non-coding RNA of Diabrotica virgifera virgifera (western corn rootworm), 867 nucleotides long. RefSeq lists it as uncharacterized. The record is from RefSeq and is a predicted model, not a curated record. Lineage: Eukaryota; Metazoa; Arthropoda; Insecta; Coleoptera; Chrysomelidae. The transcript has 2 exons.